ACUUACUGAGUAUGAUUUGUACAAUUGCCUUCCAAGUAAUAGGUUUAAGAUAUUCUUAAAGUAAGUA
Molecule: transfer RNA, 67 nt
Filed under: Umbonium thomasi
Lineage: Eukaryota; Metazoa; Mollusca; Gastropoda; Trochida; Trochidae
Description: tRNA-Gly
Source: RNAcentral